GAUGAACGCUGGCGGCGUGCUUAACACAUGCAAGUCGGACGGGAAACCUUUUAAUGAAGCUUCGGCAGAUUUAGCUGGUUUCUAGUGGCGGACGGGUGAGUAACGCGUGGGUAACCUGCCUUAUACAGGGGGAUAACAGUCAGAAAUGACUGCUAAUACCGCAUAAGCGCACAGGACCGCAUGGUCCGGUGUGAAAAACUCCGGUGGUAUAAGAUGGACCCGCGUUGGAUUAGCUUGUUGGUGGGGUAACGGCUCACCAAGGCGACGAUCCAUAGCCGGCCUGAGAGGGUGAACGGCCACAUUGGGACUGAGACACGGCCCAGACUCCUACGGGAGGCAGCAGUGGGGAAUAUUGCACAAUGGGGGAAACCCUGAUGCAGCGACGCCGCGUGAAGGAAGAAGUAUCUCGGUAUGUAAACUUCUAUCAGCAGGGAAGAUAGUGACGGUACCUGACUAAGAAGCCCCGGCUAACUACGUG
RNAcentral lists this ribosomal RNA (478 nucleotides) under uncultured bacterium. RNAcentral describes it as "partial 16S ribosomal RNA". It matches the Rfam family "Bacterial small subunit ribosomal RNA", at positions 28 to 507 of the family's 1533-position model. The record is from RNAcentral.